GAUGAACGCUGGCGGCGUGCCUAAUACAUGCAAGUCGAGCGAACAGACGAGGAGCUUGCUCCUCUGACGUUAGCGGCGGACGGGUGAGUAACACGUGGAUAACCUACCUAUAAGACUGGGAUAACUUCGGGAAACCGGAGCUAAUACCGGAUAAUAUAUUGAACCGCAUGGUUCAAUAGUGAAAGACGGUUUUGCUGUCACUUAUAGAUGGAUCCGCGCCGCAUUAGCUAGUUGGUAAGGUAACGGCUUACCAAGGCAACGAUGCGUAGCCGACCUGAGAGGGUGAUCGGCCACACUGGAACUGAGACACGGUCCAGACUCCUACGGGAGGCAGCAGUAGGGAAUCUUCCGCAAUGGGCGAAAGCCUGACGGAGCAACGCCGCGUGAGUGAUGAAGGUCUUCGGAUCGUAAAACUCUGUUAUUAGGGAAGAACAAAUGUGUAAGUAACUAUGAACGUAUUGACGGUACCUAAUCAGGAAGCCACGGCUAACUACGUG
RNAcentral lists this ribosomal RNA (497 nucleotides) under uncultured bacterium. Its description in RNAcentral is "partial 16S ribosomal RNA". It matches the Rfam family "Bacterial small subunit ribosomal RNA", at positions 28 to 507 of the family's 1533-position model. The record is from RNAcentral.